RNAcentral lists this ribosomal RNA (468 nucleotides) under uncultured bacterium. RNAcentral's name for it is "partial 16S ribosomal RNA". It matches the Rfam family "Bacterial small subunit ribosomal RNA", at positions 28 to 507 of the family's 1533-position model. The record is from RNAcentral.
GACGAACGCUGGCGGCGUGCUUAACACAUGCAAGUCGAACGGAAAGGCCCUGCUUUUGUGGGGUUCUCGAGUGGCGAACGGGUGAGUAACCCGUGAGUAACCUGCCCUUGACUGUGGGAUAACUUCAGGAAACUGGGGCUAAUACCGGAUAGGAGCUCCUGCUGCAUGGUGGGGGUUGGAAAGUUUCGGCGGUUGGGGAUGGACUCGCGGCUUAUCAGCUUGGUGGUGGGGUAGUGGCUUACCAAGGCUUUGACGGGUAGCCGGCCUGAGAGGGUGACCGGCCACCUGGGGACUGAGAUACGGAGCAGACUCCUACGGGAGGCAGCAGUGGGGAGUAUUGCACAAUGGGCGGAAGUCUGAUGCAGCAACGCCGCGUGCGGGAUGACGGCCUUCGGGGUGUAAACCGCUUUCGCCUGUGACGAAGCGUGAGUGACGGUAAUGGGUAAAGAAGCACCGGCUAACUACGUG